This 569-nucleotide small RNA is filed under the name Pan troglodytes (chimpanzee). Its description in RNAcentral is "processed transcript". The record is from RNAcentral. Lineage: Eukaryota; Metazoa; Chordata; Mammalia; Primates; Hominidae.
GGCGGCGGCCGCUGGCGCUCAAGCAUGGCGGCGGCAGCAUUGGGCAGCUCCUCAGGCUCGGCGUCCCCGGCCGUGGCUGAGCUCUGCCAGAACACCCCGGAGACCUUUUUGGAGGCCUCCAAGCUGCUGCUCACCUAUGCUGACAACAUCCUCAGGUGCAGGGCAACGGGGUCGGACGGCGGGUACCGGGGUGGGUGGGCCGCGGCGCCUUGUUCGGCCAGGGACUGGGUGUCCGGCCUGAGCUUCAGAGGGCAGCGACGCCCGGACAGACCGGGACCUGGAGCUGGUUCUGCUCCUAACGUCCGAGCCCGCCGGCCAGGGGCCUCGGGACCCGGCCAAGUCCCACCCCCGCUCGAGAAAAGGAAGUUUCUUUGCAGUAGUGACUUGGCACCUGCAGUCAGGGUGCUGCGGGUGAACUGGAGUCCCGGAAGCGGGGCCGGGCGGAGGAGAGGUAGGAAGGCGUGCUUCAGACAUUGCCGCUCUUCUCGUCGUUUAGCGGCCUCAGAUAUCAGGACACAACGAAACCCUAAUGAUGAAAAAUAUAGAUCCAUCCGGAUUGGAAACACAGC